This 324-nucleotide ribosomal RNA is filed under the name uncultured Spirochaetota bacterium. RNAcentral describes it as "bacterial SSU rRNA". It matches the Rfam family "Bacterial small subunit ribosomal RNA", at positions 29 to 351 of the family's 1533-position model. Lineage: Bacteria; Pseudomonadati; Spirochaetota. The record is from RNAcentral.
AACGAACGCUGGCGGCGCGUCUUAAGCAUGCAAGUCGAGCGGCAAGGGUAGCAAUACCCCUAGAGCGGCGGACUGGUGAGUAACACGUGGGUGAUCUACCUUUGGGUUGGGGAUAGCCUGUGGAAACACAGGGUAAUACCGAAUACGGUUGCGCGAUUACGGUUGCGCAAAGAAAGGAGCUACGGCUCCGCCUUAAGAUGAGCCCGCGGCUCAUUAGCUAGUUGGCGGUGUAAUGGACCACCAAGGCAAUGAUGAGUAGCCGGCCUGAGAGGGUGAACGGCCACACUGGGACUGAGAUACGGCCCAGACUCCUACGGGAGGCUG